The sequence is a ribosomal RNA, 919 nucleotides long. The stretch from base 311 to 465 matches the Rfam family "5.8S ribosomal RNA".
AUUCUUGGUCAUUUAGAGGAAGUAAAAGUCGUAACAAGGUUUCCGUAGGUGAACCUGCGGAAGGAUCAUUAUCGAAUUCUGAGGGGAGGGGAAGAUGGCGAGUCGAGAUUUGUCGCUGGCCCCCCUUCCUUGGGCAUGUGCACGUCUUGCUUGUCGUCAACCUUUCUCUCAUACACCCACACCUGUGCACCUGUUGUAGGUCCUCGAAAGAGGAUCUAUGUUUUUCACACCUCACACCUAUCGUAUGUCUACAGAAUGUAUUGAGAUCGUCGACCUGUUCACCAGGACGGCGGUCAAUAAAAGUCUAUACAACUUUCAGCAACGGAUCUCUUGGCUCUCGCAUCGAUGAAGAACGCAGCGAAUUGCGAUAAGUAAUGUGAAUUGCAGAUUUUCAGUGAAUCAUCGAAUCUUUGAACGCACCUUGCGCUCCUUGGUAUUCCGAGGAGCAUGCCUGUUUGAGUGUCAUUGAAUUCUCAAACCAUGUCUUGAUUGGUUUCAAGGCAUGGCUUGGACUUGGGGGUUUGCUGGCAGCGAAAGGCUGUCAGCUCUCCUGAAAUACAUUAGCAGAGGGCGGGGCAAGUCCCCCUGACGUGCACGGCCUUCGACGUGAUAAUGAUCGUCGUGGCUGGAGCGUUGGACAUGCAUGAAAUCCGUCUGUGCUUCCAAUCUCCCCACACCCUAGCCUUCGAGUCUCUUAGCUAUUAGUCGGUCGUGAGGCCAGCGAACGUUGGGCGGCUAGGGGCUGGUCUGUUUCGAAACUUGACCUCAAAUCAGGUAGGACUACCCGCUGAACUUAAGCAUAUCAAUAAGCGGAGGAAAAGAAACUAACAAGGAUUCCCCUAGUAACUGCGAGUGAAGCGGGAAGAGCUCAAAUUUUGAAUCUGGCGGUCUUCGGCCGUCCGAGUUGUAAUCUAGAGAA